UACGUAGGGUGCAAGCGUUAAUCGGAAUUACUGGGCGUAAAGCGUGCGCAGGCGGUUAUUCAAGGCAGAGGGGAAAUCCCCGGGCUCAACCUGGGAACUGCCUUUGUGACUGCAUAGCUAGAGUACGGUAGAGGGGGAUGGAAUUCCGCGUGUAGCAGUGAAAUGCGUAGAUAUGCGGAGGACCACCGAUGGCGAAGGCAAUCCCAUGGACCUGUACUGACGCUCAUGCACGAAAGCGUGGGGAGCAAACAGG
RNAcentral lists this ribosomal RNA (253 nucleotides) under uncultured bacterium. Its description in RNAcentral is "partial 16S ribosomal RNA". It matches the Rfam family "Bacterial small subunit ribosomal RNA", at positions 524 to 776 of the family's 1533-position model. The record is from RNAcentral.